UCCCUCAUCGUGCAAGCGUCGCCAUGGCAAGCCCCAUCCACCCCAUCUCUGUCGUGAAGCUUCUAUUGUGCCACCUCCUCCGAGCGCUUGAACUUCCUGCUGGUGAGCAACCCCCGCCCAAGGCACGGCCCUGCCUGCUCCGAAGCCCCACGCCUUCCUUUCCCCCUGCCGCUGGCCAAGGGCCAUGACUGGCCGGCCAAGUUCCCGUGAGUCUGUUUUGUGUUGGUGCGCCAGGGAUCUUAGGGAAGAAAAAGGAGAAAAAGAGGGGGUUAUGGUGGAAGUUUCCAGGGACCCUUUUGUGAAAGUUGAAUAGAUCUGAGGGUGGUUUUGAGAAAUAACCUUGGAUGUGUUUUAUUUCUUAGAUUUAAAUAGCUGCAAACUUGGAAAAUGCAUAGAAAUGUGUAGAAAAAUGCUAAAAAUGUGAAUCUUGUUUUUUUGGAUUCCUUAUGAGAUCUAGUUUAUUUCGAAAUUGAGUAUGUGCAUGCUAUUGUUGUAUAUUUUUCUCCAUGUAUUAUUGUUCUCUAGACUUGUUAAAUGCCUUAUAAAUCAUGUGGUGGUCCAAAAAUCAUGAAACCAAUUUUAUUAGCUUCCAUUUAUCAUGUAUGUUCCAGAUCUAUAACUUGUAUUAAUGGAAUAUAUGGUUUUCAUGCUGUUUUAAGUCUAAUGCUUGUUUGCUGUCUUAAUCUUGUUAUUGCAUGGUAAUUACUGGAAAAUAUAUAAAAUGUUGAAACCACUUCUGUUCCUUUGUUGUCCAUAUACAAUCCAUGAAAAAUGAUAUUGAUGCUUUUAUGGUUAAUUUACAAGCCUUUUUGGAUUUAAUGUGCUUAAUGGUAGUUUAUCUUGUUUAUUUU
Molecule: long non-coding RNA, 851 nt
Filed under: Setaria viridis
Lineage: Eukaryota; Viridiplantae; Streptophyta; Magnoliopsida; Poales; Poaceae
Description: long non-coding RNA (SVIR_LNC009259)
Source: RNAcentral